UACAGAGGGGGCAAGCGUUAUUCGGAAUUAUUGGGCGUAAAGGGCGCGUAGGCGGCCUUUCAAGUGACGGGUGAAAUCCCUCGGCUUAACCGAGGAACUGCCUGUCAGACUGGGAGGCUUGAGACCGGGAGAGGUGAGUGGAAUUCCCAGUGUAGCGGUGAAAUGCGUAGAUAUUGGGAGGAACACCAGUGGCGAAGGCGGGUCUCUGGACAGUUCCUGACGCUGAGGCACGAAGGUCAGGGGAGCAAACGGG
RNAcentral lists this ribosomal RNA (253 nucleotides) under uncultured bacterium. RNAcentral's name for it is "partial 16S ribosomal RNA". It matches the Rfam family "Bacterial small subunit ribosomal RNA", at positions 524 to 776 of the family's 1533-position model. The record is from RNAcentral.